RNAcentral lists this long non-coding RNA (1415 nucleotides) under Homo sapiens (human). Its description in RNAcentral is "LNC000093". Lineage: Eukaryota; Metazoa; Chordata; Mammalia; Primates; Hominidae. The record is from RNAcentral.
GAAACAAAAUACUGGUAAAGAAAAAGCUAUCUAUUCUAGUGGAUAGAAAUCUGGAGAAAUAUCACAAAUGUUCUGAGCCCCAGACCUACUGAGACUUUUGCAGGAAGCAUUACCUCUAUCCUACCUGGCAGACAAAACACUGCCUGCCCUUUUUUGCUAGAUAAUUCUAAGUGAGGAAGCCUGUGGACUUACUAAAUGACCUAUAUGAUCUGCGAGGAGUAAAACACAACCAUUCUGAAGGGAAACAUACCCGGAACCAUAAGAGUCUUUCACUAGGACCAGGCAACGUCUGGAUUUGUAAACACGCUCCAACAAGAAGCAGGCUGCACAAGCUUUGUAGAUCACAAGGAGCAUUAACUCUCCCAUGACCUUCAGAUGUGGCCAUAGGGGCUGAUGGACAAAGAAUUACCCCCUAGAGCUAGGAGCAAUGGAUACCAGGGAGUUUUCCAUAGAAAGCUGAACCAGAGACUUGCUCCAUAACCAGGACAGGGAUCUUCACAAUCUCUGACCAGAAGGAUUUGCUUACCACUGUGGAAACAAUGACUGUCAUGUUUCUUCUCUUCUUUUUUUGGUGCCAAAUCUAUCACCAUUGGCGGAGAAAAAGAACCUUCUCUUAGACUGUAGGUGAUCUGACCCCAGGAGCCACACUUGGAGAUAACUACCCAUCACCAAGAGAUCCUGGAAUUUCAACCUGAUGAUAUAACUGGAUGGGACUUUGGGAGUAUCUCCUGUGGGAAAAAGGAAAGAAUUUCGUUUGGCAGGUCAAGUGUAGUUGGAUAUUUAUGGGUGGCUAAAGGGGCAGUCUGUGGAAGAGACUUCUUGUUAUUUCUUCCCAACAUCCAUUCCUUUCUUCUCCUAUUAUGAGAGAUAUUUUGAAUUUUUGACAAAUCCCAGUCUCCCUUGCAUCUAGAUGUGGCCAUGAGACUAAGUUUUGGCCAAAGGGGUAUAAAUGAUAUUGUUGUACACAACUUUAGGCUUGUGACCUUAAAGUGAAACAGGUGUGCCCUACACUGCCCAUUUUUUCGACCUUGUUUUAACUGUGGAUGAUGUGGAUGAGGUGGUGAGCUACUAUGGACCAUGAGAAUCAGUGGAGCAUACUAGAGAUGGUGCAACAAUAAGAGAAGGAGCCUGGGUCCCUGAAUGACCUCAUGGGGUAGAUGUCCUAAGCUAGUAUCACACUAUUUACUCCCAGACUGGUGGAGAAGAGAGAAAUAAUUUCUGGCGAAUUCAAAACACUGUUAUUUUGGAGCCCUGUUACAUGCACCUUGACCUAUAUUCCAAAUUAGAUAAGUAAGAUAGGUAAGAUAUCUUAAUGCACUUUGGCAUGCUAUCAUUCCCAAAUACAUGGGAAUUAAAUUUUUUUGGUAUAAAUUUACACUGAGAAACAAAAGUAUCUAAAACUAAAAGUAUUAUUU